This 253-nucleotide ribosomal RNA is filed under the name uncultured bacterium. RNAcentral's name for it is "partial 16S ribosomal RNA". It matches the Rfam family "Bacterial small subunit ribosomal RNA", at positions 524 to 776 of the family's 1533-position model. The record is from RNAcentral.
UACGUAGGGCGCAAGCGUUGUCCGGAAUUAUUGGGCGUAAAGAGCUCGUAGGCGGCUUGUCACGUCGGGUGUGGAAGCCCGGGGCUUAACCCCGGGUCUGCAUUCGAUACGGGCUAGCUAGAGUGUGGUAGGGGAGAUCGGAAUUCCUGGUGUAGCGGUGAAAUGCGCAGAUAUCAGGAGGAACACCAACAGCGAAGGCAGCACUCUGGGCCGGUACUGACGCUGAGGAGCGAAAGCAUGGGGAGCGAACAGG